UUCUCUUCCCAUUAGUUCAAAUAGCAACUGUUAAAAGAAAUGCCAGUCUAAAGAACACUAAACCAUUAUUGUUAGGUAGAGUGGCCACGCUGGCUUCAUGGACUAACUGAAAAACAAAGAUUAAUCUGUGCAUGAGUACAAGGUAUUAUUUCUAGAUGUACUUUUUCCGUUAAAUAUUAAGAAAAUAAUUUUUGUCGAUGGCGACCAGGUGGUUCGUACUGAUAUGAAGGAAUUGUUGGAGGAGCCAUUGGAUGGAGCACCUUAUGGAUACACUCCUUUACGUGAUAGUCAUACUGAUAUAGAUGGAUUCAGGUAAUUAAUGAUAUGUAUUUAAAUAACAAAUUUUGUCAAUAAUGGGAAGGAGACAAUUUUU
Long non-coding RNA from Amphimedon queenslandica, 373 nucleotides. RefSeq lists it as uncharacterized. The transcript has 4 exons. Lineage: Eukaryota; Metazoa; Porifera; Demospongiae; Haplosclerida; Niphatidae. The record is from RefSeq and is a predicted model, not a curated record.